This 614-nucleotide long non-coding RNA is filed under the name Arabidopsis lyrata. RNAcentral's name for it is "long non-coding RNA (ALYR_LNC001324)". Lineage: Eukaryota; Viridiplantae; Streptophyta; Magnoliopsida; Brassicales; Brassicaceae. The record is from RNAcentral.
AAUUUGGUUUGGUUUCUCUGUUAUAUUUUAGUACACAGAGGUGUUGAGGAUAUGUCAAAAUGGUGUGAUCAUGCAUGUGUAGAAGAUGAUAGAACCAAACGAAGGUAGAGUUUAGGAAUUUCACGAUUUUAACUUUCCAUUCUUCUUACUUUGCUUUGUUGUUUUCUCUAGAUUCGGAAGCGUACAUGAACAGUUAGAGGAAAAGUUCAUCAGAGUAAACGAUCGGCAAGAUAUAUCCAUUGCAAGAAAGUGUUCCACAACGUGAAAUGUUGCCUAUUUCUUAGCUCUUUCAUUUUACUGGCCUAUAUAUUCAAUUAAUUUACACUAAAAUUAAAUUAUUUUGUGCAGUGCUUUUGUGCAACGAUAUGGGAACCCACUCUUGGUGGCUCUUACUUGUAGCAAUUGAUGUAGAAAAUUGAUUGGAUGUAUGGAAGAGAGAAGAUUAAGUGAAUGAAAGCAGAUGAGAAAAUACAAGAAGGAUUUGGAACAUAGUGAACGUCAAACUGCGAGAGACAUCAACCCACAAGAUCCAAUUCGAUUUUGCACUCAUUUCUCGCCCAAGACAUAACGUUUACAGAUAGUCUCAUAUACCAAAUCAAUUUUUUUUCCACAUC